CAGGCAUGACGAGGAUCCUGAAUAGGAAAAUGCAGCAAUUUCAAAAGAAGGAUACAGAGGAAGGUAGCAUGCCUUCAGUGACCAUUGCCUUAGGAGGAGAUGAUAUCCAGGUUAUGUGCUGGGAUCGGAUUUGCUUUUAAAUCUCUGUCCGUCUUCAUUACCAUGAGGAGGGGACUGAGGCAAAGACAAACCAAGCCUAAAAAGACACCUUCUUGUGGCCAGAUGCACCUGAGCUUUUGAUGCCGUGGGCCUGUGUCUUAGGAGGGAAAAGGAAGAAAGAGAAUCCAGUCCAGGAGGAGCAGUCCCUGAAAUCAGACUGAUUGGCUUCAAAAGAGACUGAGCAACGUAUUUUCUCCUUAUCAGCGUUUGUUAAGUUGUGAACACACGGUGCCAAAGAACCUGUUGAAAAACGGAACAUUCAGUCAACUAUCCCCAUCACCUCAAGUUACAUUCAUACAUACUUCAUGUGGUGCAAUUCGGUUUUUUAACCAGAUUUCCUCCUGCUGAACAGAAAAAGACCUAGAUCUGGACUUCCACUGGAAAGCUGGGGAUGGCUCUCCACAUUUUUACUUUCACAAUCUGUUCGGGCUGCCUCAUUGAGGAUAGGGGUAGAUGACUAUAAAUUGGACAAACAACUGCAAGAAAAAAGGCCCGUGAUAAAAGGCAGCCUAUCCCAAGGGGGGGCUGUCUAGCAGGGUGCAGCAGGGGUCAGUACUGGGUUUAGUCGUGUUUCAGAUUUUUAUUACCAAUCUGAAGGGGGAGGGGAAGCCGCAUAAAAAUGAAUCUGCAGAUGGCUAUUCAUUACAGAGGAUUUGCAGACCCCAGGAAGAGCAGGAAUGAAAAUCUGAGGUUCGUUUGGAAAGGUAGUCAGGAAAGAACAAAGAAAAUACAGACUGGAAAGCCUUGAGCUGGGGAAUCCAAGCGCAGUGCCUCCAGGGGCCUCCAGUGCCACAUCUUGAGUGUCAGGAAUUCUGAAACACAUGAAGUUUCACCUGUCCUUGUUGAGAAACAUGCACAUCCAUCCUUCUAAGGGACUGGACCAAAAAACGAUAAAGGCAUUUUCCACCUACCAUCAUGAGAUUGUCUUUAGAAUUCUGGCUUCAGUGACAUGGUGACAAAAGGAAUUUAAGUUAGAAUCUCUGCUUCCUAGUGGCAUGUGUUUCGGCUGCGGGUAAAUAACAGAGAUGACUGCAAAAGCCAGUUCGCAGCCAGGGCCUGUGACAUGGGGACCCACAGAAGGCUGUUUGUUGAGAUACACAGUCCUGCCACUCUAUGCAGCGUGCCUGCUUCAAUGUACAGUUAGCAUCAAGCUUUUCUUUGGGAGACACAACCUGCCAUCCUGGCCUCCCUGGGUCUCAUUUCCCAGUGCCCCAUGUCUGACAUUGUUCCAAGUGCUGCCCUUGAAAUUUCUGCAAGUAUUUCUUCUAUUUUCCUUAUUUGCUCAGAAAAGAAAUUGUCCAUCAACAGAUCAGAUCUCAUGUCUGCUCGGAAUCUUCCGGAGUUCCUCAGUACCUGCAAAGAAAUUGGCAUUUCUUAAUUUAGAAUUCUGUCUUCCAAAUUGCAUAGAGGUUACUUCACAGUCCCUGGAAUCAGACUGAUCGGCUUCAAAUAAACCACACACCAAAUGCCCAGGACUUUAGAUACUUUCUUCAGUUACCGAAUGUGAGCAAUAAAAGUAAUAUCUGCCUCUAGUAUUGUUCUAGGGGCUAAGUGAGGCAAAGGUACAUCAAGUGCUUCCUCAGUGUCUGGCACACAGCAAUCACUCAAUGGGUGAGAUCAUCCUACAAUCAUCUUACAAAAGGAUCUUUUAAAAGUA
This is a non-coding RNA of Ictidomys tridecemlineatus (thirteen-lined ground squirrel), 1816 nucleotides long. The record is from RefSeq and is a predicted model, not a curated record. Lineage: Eukaryota; Metazoa; Chordata; Mammalia; Rodentia; Sciuridae.